Molecule: ribosomal RNA, 370 nt
Filed under: uncultured bacterium
Lineage: Bacteria
Description: bacterial SSU rRNA
Rfam family: Bacterial small subunit ribosomal RNA
Source: RNAcentral
AGCGAACGCUAGCGGGUGGCUUAACACAUGCAAGUCGAGCGGGGUCUUCGGGCCCAGCGGCGAACGGGUGAGUAACACGUAGGAUAUCUGCCUUUUGGUGGGGCAUAGCCGGGGGGAAACCCCGAUUAAUACCGCAUAUGGCCUAUGGGUCAAAGCCUUCGGGCGCCAAGAGAGGAGCCUGCGGCCCAUUAUUUAAUCCUAGUUGGUGGGGUAAUGGCCUACCAAGGGUACGAUGGGUAGCUGGUCUGAGAGGACGAUCAGCCACACUGGAACUGAGACACGGUCCAGACUCCUACGGGAGGCAGCAGUGGGGAAUAUUGCGCAAUGGGCGGAAGCCUGACGCAGCCAACCCGCGUGUGUGAUGAAGGCC